This 1815-nucleotide long non-coding RNA is filed under the name Homo sapiens (human). RNAcentral describes it as "HSALNT0320343". Lineage: Eukaryota; Metazoa; Chordata; Mammalia; Primates; Hominidae. The record is from RNAcentral.
CCAGCUGUGUGGCUUUGGGCAAGUUAUUUAACCUCUCUGUGCCUCAACUUCUUCAUGUAAACUGGCAGUAAUAAUAAUACGAAUGCCACAGAGCUGUGGAUGAAAUGAGCCCAUUCCGGUCUGGCUUCUUUAACCAGGAAGAUGUGGGCUGAGAGCUGUGGAGUAGAUGUCUUCACCAGAUGAGUACACAGAGAAGUAGAGAAUGUGUAUCUGCAGAGUAGGAUGAAGCAGAGACAAGUCUUGUGAAUAAGGUAUUCAGGAAGCACAGCUGUCUUUUGUUCCUGAAGCCGUAUCAGGAUUCAGCAGGAAAGAGCACCAAGAUCACUUGGCAAUGUUUAUCCUGAUCAAGCACGGGCACUGAUGGCAGAUGCAGGACAAAGGACAGAACUCUAAGUCAUCCCUGUGCUCACCUGAGACAAAUGCAUGUCUGAUUGCUUCCACUGAUGUAAAAAUGCAGAUUUGCUGAGUUAGACGAAGACGAUGGCAGAGAGCAGUCUUCAUCCUGAGCCCCAUUCCUAGGCAUUUCAGCUGCUCCUAUUUCUUUCUUUUUGGACUCUUCUAGAAAAACAGAGAAAUCAAACAGGAAGCUGCUGCUGGGGAGUUCUGUGUUGGAUAGGAUAGUGUGGCCAGGCUCACUGUUCUACUACCUCAAACCCCAAGGUUUCAGCAUGACUCAGGGGGUGCAAACUCCAAAAGGUCUAACUUGGAAUGUGACUUAGGAACUCUGGCCAGUCUCCCUUGCUCAGAUCUGAAACUGGGAAAUUUUCAAAACCCAAAACCUUGCAUAAUCAGAAAGAAUAAAUCCCUAUAAGGAAGAGAAACACAAUGGAAAAUUCCACUGGAGAUAUCUGAAAUUGCCUGACUCUUGUGUCAGCAACUGGGAGGUCAGAUGGCCACAAAGAGUACACAGUUGGACAAGAUCUAUCCUUCUAGGAAGUGGAUUCCUGGAGGGUACUUCUGGUCAUUAAAAGUUGCUUGAAAACUGUAGAAACUAAGACCCAGUGUUGUGUUUGUGCGUGUAUGUGCAGUGGCGCAAUCAUAGCUCACUGUCACCUAUUAUUCCUGGGCUCAAGCGAUCCUUUUGCCUCAGCCUCUGGAAUAGUUAGGACUACAGGUGCACUGCCACCACCACACCCAGUUAACUUUUUAAAUUUCCUUGUAGAAACAGAGUCUCUGUGUUCCCAGACUGGUGUUGAACUCCUGGCCUCGGCCUCCUGAAGUGCUGGGAUUACCGGCAUGAGCCACUGUUCCCAGUCCUGGUCUUCUUAAUGAUUGUUUCAGAACUACUCAUGAUCAAAGAUCAGUUAGGCAAAUGGUUCUCAAUCCUGGCUAACGCUAGAAUCGAUCACCUGUAAAAUUUCUUUAAGAAUCCGGAUGCCCAGGACCCAUUCCCAGAGAUUUGGAUUUAAUUGGUCUGGAGUGACACCCAGGCCCAGGUAUUUUCCAAUGUGUCCAAUGUUGAGAAACACUGAAUUAGACAAAGUAGGGCAAAACUGUCAUUUAUUUUUGUAUUUGCUAUGCCUAACACAGUAUCUGUCCCUUAGUUAGGUAUUCCGUAAGAGUUCAUGGAAUAUGUAUGUGAAUAAAUGAACUAGUGUCAUCACAUAAACAACUUUCAGCACUUAGGUUGCACUUUAUGGGUUUCAAAAUACUUUUGUAUGUGCUGCUCUCAUUUUAGUCUGUUAAAAAGGUAAACUGAGGCACAAAAAAUUAUUUUUAAGGUUUAUUUGAGCAAACAAUGAAUCAUGAAUCACACAGCUCCAAACCAGGAGCAGUUUAGGGGCUCCAUUAAGGAAGUAUGAAAGAGGGACAGGC